UGGCUACGCCAAGCCCUGGGCGUAAACAGCUGCAGCAGGGGGAGCAUCCAGUGGCGGUGCCAGCAGUUCCAGCCCUUUGCUUUACUUUUUAGCUGCACCAAUGUAGUCAUUAUGCCGAAGAGAAAGUCUCCAGAGAAUCCAGAGGGCAAGGAUGAAUCCAAAGUAACUAAACAGGAGCCCACCAGAUGGUCUGCCAGGUUGUCAGCGAAAACUGCUCCCCCCAAAACCUGAACCUAAACCAAGAAAAACAUCUGCUAAGAAAGAACUGGCAACAAAGGUUAACAAAGGUGCUAAAGGGAAGAAGGAGGAAAAGCAAGAAGCUGGAAAGGAAGGCACAGAAAGCUGA
Non-coding RNA from Lipotes vexillifer (Yangtze River dolphin), 346 nucleotides. The record is from RefSeq and is a predicted model, not a curated record. NCBI's taxonomy places the organism in Eukaryota, Metazoa, Chordata, Mammalia, Artiodactyla, Lipotidae.